Chiloscyllium plagiosum (whitespotted bambooshark) is the source of this 1638-nucleotide non-coding RNA. The record is from RefSeq and is a predicted model, not a curated record. Lineage: Eukaryota; Metazoa; Chordata; Chondrichthyes; Orectolobiformes; Hemiscylliidae.
UCCCCUCCUCUUUCUUAAAGUUAUGUCAUGAGAGAGUAGACAGGACUUCAGAAUAAAAGAGUAUUAUUUACAAUGCAACAUUUGCUCAAGAAUGCACUGAGGCACCAACUUAGAUUUUUAUGUUCAUGUCUCUGGAGUGGGACUUCAACUCGCAGUCUUCUUGCUCAAAGCAAAAAGCAAACUGGAAAAGAAAAGUUGCAUUUGUGUCUGGGAGAAACAGGACUUCGCAACAACAAAGCUACAGUCAAUGAAUGAUCCCUGCUCCCAUCUAUUGGAAAUUUACAACAUUCGCAGUAUUUUGCUUUUAUGUCAGCAACACAUUGGACUAGAUUUUCAAAGCAGGAAUGGGAACCCAACAGCCAGAUGAAUUCUGGAUCCCAUUACUUUCACAGUGCGUUUGUAAGUGUAAAUAAACUGAUUGGGCAGGAGGCGCACUGAAUGUUAAUUUACUCUGAAACCAGUUGGUGGAAAGAAGAUGCUAAUAUGAUACUUAAUACUAGAUAUACUUAGAGUGCAAUGCGUGAAACCUGUAAUAUUGUACGAAAAUUCCCAAUAUUAAAACAUAUGAGCAGACCCUUGGAUUUGGACAGAGCCCUGUUUUUUUUUAAAAAACCUUUUUCAAAACUAAUGAGUCUGCAAGGGAUAAAGAAAAUCACCAGCAGAUGUGAGGACAUUGUUUGAGACAAAAACAAACUGCAGAUGCUGGAAUCCAAUGUAGUCAAUUAGGAAGCCGGAAGAACACAGAUGCUGCCUGACUUGCUGUGUUCUUCCAGCCUCCUGCUUCUCUACCAUUGGGACAUUGUGUAGCUUGUAUUUCCAAUUUACAACUCCUCUCUGGAACAAUCAACCUGAAACGACAGGAAUCUAGCCCCAAGAUGGAUUUGAUACCUUUGGCUACACAGCUCAGACAUUAUAGAGCCUGGAGAGGUGAUGUGAAAGAUAUCAGCAUCCAACAUGAAACAAAGACCAUUUACACCUUGUCUAAAGAUUGGAAAGCCAAUUAACCUCAAAGGCAAUAUCAACCGAACAAGGAGACUACAGAUGUGGCGUGGGGCCCACCAUCGGUAUAAUUGUCACCUCAAAUCUCACCUGAGCAGCUUCCAAGCCAAGACCCAAGAGAAGCUGAAUCAGUAGGCUGAACCGAGAAGCCAAAUUGGGAAGCUAAACCAAGAGCAUCAUUGGAAUGAGGGACACCCAAGAAGGGGAAGCCAACCAAGAGUUCCACAAUAGAACUGGCCAAACCAGCUUCUGGGAGCUUCUGAACACUGGUCUGUCCAAACCAAGAACACCAUCGGCAAGAACCUUAAAAAUGACCAUCAGAACCAAAGACUGACAGCUUGAAGCAAUAACCAACUCAGCCAAUUCCGCAAGUCCUCAGACACAACCUAAGUUGAAAACCGGGCUCAGCAAACCAGUAAAAGGUAAAGAAAACCAGGUAAUACGCACCUAACUGCAUCAACAGACACAACCCAAAUUUGGGUUGUGCAGCUCAAAAGUCCUCAACUAUGCUCUGGGUAUAGCAAGCCAGAACAGCCAGGAACCUCCAAAACUGUGAUCUCCGUGAUGAGCACAAACUCCGAGACCCCAAAGUUCCAACACAGUUAGCAGUGGGAGACAGGAGACAUUAGUGAAUUAGGA